RNAcentral lists this transfer-messenger RNA (385 nucleotides) under Myxococcales bacterium. It matches the Rfam family "transfer-messenger RNA". Rfam says of the family: Bacterial tmRNA, also known as 10Sa RNA or SsrA, is named for its dual tRNA and mRNA-like properties. The record is from RNAcentral. Lineage: Bacteria; Pseudomonadati; Myxococcota; Myxococcia; Myxococcales. RNAcentral also lists the same sequence under 1 other name.
GGGGGUGAUUAUGGAUUCGACGGAGGAUGGAAGUUUUAAAUGGCACGUCGCGGGUUUUUCGGUAACCGCGUAAAAAUACUGAAAAAACAUAAAUGCAAACAAAAAUGUUGCGCACAGCGGCUUUGCUGCUGUAGCUGCCUAAGCUUAAUAACCUUAGAGUAGCCACUGGUCCGGAACUGGCUUGGGUGCCGGGUAGCUGGUGAAAAACCCCACAGGCUGGUCUUUAGGCUUUUUUAGUCGGCCUAAAGAUGAGAAAUAGGCUAAAAACUGCCAUAAAAAGCCUGCCACUGGGCGUUUUGUGGGAGCGCAAACCAGAUGGCUAAACGUGUAGAAGUUUAAAGCAGAUAUCUUGCGGACGCGGGUUCAAAUCCCGCCACCUCCACCA